GAUGAGAACGUAGCGAAAUGCGAUAAGUAAUGCGAAUUGCAGAAUUCAGUGAGUCAUCGAAUCUUUGAACGCACAUUGCGCCCCCUGGUAUUCCGGGGGGCAUGCCUGUCCGAGCGUCAUUACAACCCUCAAGCUCAGCUUGGUGUUGGGCCCCGCCGCCCCGGCGGGCCCUAAAGUCAGUGGCGGUGCCGUCCGGCUCCGAGCGUAGUAAUUCUUCUCGCUCUGGAGGUCCGGUCGUGUGCUCGCCAGCAACCCCCAAUUUUUUUCAGGUUGACCUCGGAUCAGGUAGGGAUACCCGCUGAACUUAAGCAUAUCAAUAAGCGGAGGA
This 328-nucleotide unclassified non-coding RNA is filed under the name soil metagenome. RNAcentral describes it as "partial contains 5.8S ribosomal RNA, internal transcribed spacer 2, and large subunit ribosomal RNA". The stretch from base 5 to 119 matches the Rfam family "5.8S ribosomal RNA", at positions 40 to 154 of the family's 154-position model. The record is from RNAcentral.